UACGGGGGGGGCAAGCGUUGUUCGGAAUUACUGGGCGUAAAGGGUGCGUAGGCGGUCCGCUAAGUUGGAUGUGAAAUCCCUCGGCUUAACCGAGGAACUGCGUCCGAUACUGAAAGGCUUGAAUCCGGGAGAGGGAUGUGGAAUUCCAGGUGUGGCGGUGAAAUGCGUAGAUAUCUGGAGGAACACCGGUGGCGAAGGCGGCAUCCUGGACCGGCAUUGACGCUGAGGCGCGAAAGCUAGGGGAGCAAACGGG
This 253-nucleotide ribosomal RNA is filed under the name uncultured bacterium. Its description in RNAcentral is "partial 16S ribosomal RNA". It matches the Rfam family "Bacterial small subunit ribosomal RNA", at positions 524 to 776 of the family's 1533-position model. The record is from RNAcentral.